RNAcentral lists this ribosomal RNA (1552 nucleotides) under human oral metagenome. Its description in RNAcentral is "bacterial LSU rRNA". It matches the Rfam family "Bacterial large subunit ribosomal RNA", at positions 454 to 2021 of the family's 2925-position model. The record is from RNAcentral.
UAUCACGUAAGGCUAAAUACUUCCGCCGACCGAUAGAGGAGAGUACCGUGAGGGAAAGGUGAAAAGAACCCAGAGUAUGGGAGUGAAAGAGAAUUUGAAACCGUGUGCUUACAAACGGUAGGAGCCGAGAGGUGACUGCGUGGAUUUUGGUUAAUCAUCCUGCGAGUUAUGAUAUGUGGCGAGGUUAAAAGAGUGGAGCCGAAGGGAAACCGAGUCUUAAGAGGGCGAAAGUCGCAUGUUAUAGACGCGAAACCUAGUGAUCUAGGCCUGUCCAGGUUGAAGCUGCAGUAAGAUGCAGUGGAGGACCGAACUCACCGCCGUUGAAAUGUUGGGAGAUGAGAUAGGUUUAGGGGUGAAAAGCCAAUCGAACUAGGAGAUAGCUCGUUCUCUCCGAAAUGCAUUUAGGUGCAGCCUUAAAGUUAAGAUAUAUGGGGGUAGAGCACUGUAUAACCUAGGGGGCGUAUAGCUUACUGAAGUUAAGCAAACUGCGAAUACCAUAUAUUAACAUUUAGGAGUGAGUCUAUGGAUGACAAGGUCCGUGGACGAGAGGGAAACAACCCAGAACAUCAGCUAAGGUCCCAAAUUAUGUCUAAGUGGGAAAGGAGGUGGAUAUUCACAAACAACCAGGAGGUUGGCUUAGAAGCAGCCAUACCUUUAAAGAGUGCGUAAUAGCUCACUGGUCGAGAGUAUCUGCGCCGAAGAUUUAACGGGGCUAAGACAUAAACCGAAGCUAUGUAACAAGUAAUUGUUGGUAGGAGAGCGUUCUGUAAGCUGUUGAAGGAGAGUUGAAAGAUGAUCUGGAGGUAUCAGAAGUGAGAAUGCAGGAAUGAGUAGCGAGAAAGAGGGUGAGAAUCCCUCUGGCCGGAAGUCCAAGGUUUCCAGGGGAAGGUUUGUCCUCCCUGGGUGAGUCGGGACCUAAGCGAAGACUGAAGAGUCGUGGCGAAUGGAAAAUAGGUUAAUAUUCCUAUACCACUUCCAAUCUAUAGUGAUGGAGUGACGCAGGAAGGUAUGUAAGAUGUCUGACGGAAUAGGCAUUCUAAGGGAGAAGCAUGGUAGUAGAGGCAAAUCCAUACUAUUAAAUGUUAGGCCUGAUGGGGAAGUGUACUACGGUACAUAAGUUACAAAUCCUACACUGCCGAGAAAAACUUCUAAACUGAAAGGGAGUGCCCGUACUGUAAACCGACACAGGUGGACUGGGUGAGAAACCCGAGGCCGACAGGAUAACUCUAGCUAAGGAACUCUGCAAAAUAGCCCCGUAACUUCGGGAGAAGGGGUGCCUAUAGUAGGUGAAGGAGAACAUCUGGAGCUGAUGUAGGUCGCAGUGAAGAGUCCCAAGCAACUGUUUAUCAAAAACACAGGUCUAUGCUAAGCUGAAAGGCGACGUAUAUGGGCUGACACCUGCCCAGUGCUGGAAGGUUAAGAGGAGGAUUGAGAGAUUCGAAUUGAAGCCCCAGUGAACGGCGGCCGUAACUAUAACGGUCCUAAGGUAGCGAAAUUCCUUGUCGGGUAAGUUCCGACCUGCACGAAUGGUGAAAUGAUUUGGGAGCUGUCU